UAAAAGGUGUUUUUUAACACCAUCCAAAAACAAAAAAUAUUUAAU
Non-coding RNA from Dictyostelium purpureum, 45 nucleotides. Lineage: Eukaryota; Evosea; Eumycetozoa; Dictyosteliales; Dictyosteliaceae. The record is from Rfam.